CUUUGAUCAACAAAUGGUACAAAAAGUCAAAUUCUAACAUUGGUGACUUCAUUAGUCUCAAUGUUGGAGAAAUUAUAAGUGGAAGAGUGAAGCGAAUUGAUUCUUUUGGUUUGUCUAUUGAAAUUGAUCAAUCUAAAUUAGUUGAUGAAGAGAGACAAAGAAUCUCUUUAGGAAUGAAGGGAUCAUAUUUCGAUAAUCAAACACAAGAAAUUCAUAAUUCUGAUUCAAAUUUAGAUUCGGAAUCAGACAAUCUUAUUCUAACCGCGACCCCGGAAUCACUGAUUCCAUUCUCAAACGGGAAUCAUCCAGCAUUAGCUGAAAUGGAAUCCAGGGCUUCUGUUCUUCCUCUUGAAGCCACUUUAGAUGAAGAAGCAGAUGAGUCACCCAUGGAGGAAGAACAAGCUCAAAUUCCAGAGCCUCUUGAUGACAAAAAAACCUAAAAAGAAUGAAAACAAAAGUAAACGAACAAAAAAGAAAGAAACAGAUGAAAGGUAUUCACAUAGGGAAAGCGAAAUUCGGGUUGCAGAGGAGAGACUAUUGCAGAAAGAUAUUCCAAGAACAACUGAUGAUUAUGAGAAGCUGAUAAGAAGCUCCCCAAAUAGUAGCUUUAUCUGGAUAAAAAACAUGACAUUUUUUCUCUCCUUAAAUGAAGUUGAAAAGGCUCGAUCAAUGGCUGAAAGGGCUUUGAGGACAAUUAAUAUAAGAGAAGAGUCAGAGAAGAUGCAUGUUUGGGUUGCAUACUUUAACUUAGAAAACGAAUACGGGUUCCCACCAGAGGAUGCAGUGGUAAAAAUAUUUCAAACGACAUUGAAAUUUUUAUUUAAGAACUAUAUGCUUAGAGCUUCUAGUUAAGAAGAUGAAGUUUUUAUUUAAGAAGUAUCUUGAAUUUGAGAAGUCACAUGGGGAUGAGGAUAGAGCUAAAUAUGUUAAGGCGGAGGCUCUUAAGUUUAUUAAGAAGUUCUGAUACAGAUGAGGAAAUACUAGCACAACAUGUUCCCAAACCAAGAGUAAUGCGGGUAUACUCUAGAAGGGCAAAACAGUCAUUUGAGAAAAGUGGCUACAAGGUUGUUAGAGGAGAGAGAAAUGAGAAUAAAAAGAAAGGAGUGUUGUGAGGUCAGGUAUGUGUGAGGUGUAAGAAAUGUACUGUGGCUCUCGGUAUCAUUCGUGAUAGAGAGAAGGGGACAUUCAUGACUUUUGUUGCUUAGAAAUACAAUCAUUCAGUUAUCUUCUUUAUUUUAUCAAGCAUUCAUUAAUUUCCAUUGAUCUAUUAUUUCUUUACAGUACAAAUCUUCUCUCUCUGUUUUACUACCUAUCAAGUUAUCUUACUUUUUUUUUGUUAAGCAUGUCAUAUGUACAAAAAGGGAAAAUACAUCAGUAGUUUGUUUUUGAAUAUAAUAACUUACUAUCUCAUUUGAUUCAGGGGUAUAUUUAUAAUAUCAUAAAUACUUUAUAUGAUAUAUUUUUUAUGGUGAUUUAUCAGAAACAUAUAUUUUUUGUGACAAAUACAGAGCAUUUUACUAAAAUUCCAACAAAUAGCACUAGCCGAAAAAGUGGAAGAUAGGAGAAGGAGGCUUAUAUGGGUUAGUCUGGACUUUACUCUAACCCAACUCAACAGGUAACAAAGAAAAGGAUAUUUACAUCUUUUCACAACACAAGCAUUUUCCUUGGGAAGGGUCUUGUCAACUUGAAUUUCAUGCAAGAGAAAAUGGAAGCCGAUUUCCGUUAUGGUCUUGUAUGUGUUCGAGAAAAUGUCGAAUCAAUUGCAUUUUAUGGUGCAACUGUUGAUAUUUGCUAAUGGAUGGUGACAGGAAUAUUUCAAGGGCGUCCCCACCUGGAAAAGUAACAACCCUAACCAAGGAACCAUUGCUUGCUAUAAAUAAGAGAUCCCAUACUUAAUGUUAGUGAUUUAUCAGUUGAAGCAAACAUGCAAACAUGUGCUUGUAUGUUUUUGAAUUCAUCUAAUCUGGAUAGGAUUGAGGUCGGAUACAACAAAUAAGCGAUCAACUAGAAACAACCCCUGGUCUUGACAUGUUAAAAAUGCAAAACACUUCCAUUUAGCAGAUAAUCAGUUAUCUGGUGACAUUCGAUCUGAACUGUUCAUAUCAUAUAUGACUCUAAUACAUGUGAUAUUCAACAACAAUCAAUUAUCUGGAAAUAAAUGAUGGUGAAAGUCAUCUACUAAAGCAAGGUUGGUGUAAGAGUUGAUUACUAGAACAUUGUUCCAAGACCUUCAUUGAGUUAUGACGAUGUCCCUUAAUAGCAAUGUAGUAUUAGGUUAUAUAGUUAGCGAUGAUUAUUUGUAUUUGACAUUUUAGUGCAAUGAAUUAUCUUUCUUAUUUAUUGUAUUUUGUAUGACAUUAACUUUUGUG
This is a non-coding RNA of Lactuca sativa (garden lettuce), 2369 nucleotides long. The record is from RefSeq and is a predicted model, not a curated record. NCBI's taxonomy places the organism in Eukaryota, Viridiplantae, Streptophyta, Magnoliopsida, Asterales, Asteraceae.